AUUGAACGCUGGCGGCAGGCCUAACACAUGCAAGUCGAACGAGUGGCGGACGGGUGAGUAAUGUCUGGGAAACUGCCCGAUGGAGGGGGAUAACUACUGGAAACGGUAGCUAAUACCGCAUACCAUCGGAUGUGCCCAGAUGGGAUUCGCUAGUAGGUGGGGUAACGGCUCACCUAGGCGACGAUCCCUAUCUGGUCUGAGAGGAUGACCCGCCACGCUGGAACGGAGACACGGUCCAGACUCCUACGGGAGGCAGCAGUGGGGAAUAUUGCACAAUGGGCGCAAGCCUGAUGCAGCCAUGCCUCGUGUAUGAAGAAGGCCUUCGGGUUGUAAAGUACUUUCAGCGAGGAGGCGUUACGCGCAGAAGAAGCACCGGCUAACUCCGUGCCAGCAGCCGCGGUAAUAC
This 406-nucleotide ribosomal RNA is filed under the name uncultured bacterium. Its description in RNAcentral is "partial 16S ribosomal RNA". It matches the Rfam family "Bacterial small subunit ribosomal RNA", at positions 30 to 526 of the family's 1533-position model. The record is from RNAcentral.